Molecule: ribosomal RNA, 120 nt
Filed under: Helianthus annuus (common sunflower)
Lineage: Eukaryota; Viridiplantae; Streptophyta; Magnoliopsida; Asterales; Asteraceae
Source: RNAcentral
AGUUGCGAUCAUACCAGCACUAAUGCACCGGAUCCCAUUAGAACUCCGUAGUUAAGCGAGCUUGGGCGAGAGUAGUACUAGGAUGGGUGACCCCCUGGGAAGUCCUCGUGUUGCAACCCC